This is a regulatory RNA element of 124 nucleotides. It matches the Rfam family "PyrR binding site". Rfam says of the family: This family represents the PyrR binding site and terminator structure. This RNA structure is found upstream of a variety of genes involved in pyrimidine biosynthesis and transport. The alignment also includes a portion of the antiterminator structure. The record is from Rfam.
GCUACCUUUAAUCCAGUCCAGAGAGGCUGACAAGGAGUCGUUUAGUUGUUCGUGCAUAGUCCAAUGGGAUUACUGCGCGGACCAAUUAAUUACGCCUUCGUCAGUGGACGAAGGCUUUUUGUUU